AAGAGAAGGAAAAAAAAUACGUAUAGUUGUACACUGGACAAAUCUCCUGCAGAGCAACAAGAUUUCCUAGUGGAAAAAUGAUUAAUAAUUCAAAAAUUCUCUUAAUCUUCAGAUUUGUACAUUUUAAUUAAAUUGGAAAUUGCUGACAUGUAAUUAUGUACUCAGAACAAUUAAAUGAUUCCGGUCCACAAAUUACCUGUUAAAGUAAACAAUGAACCUGUCAAAACUGGCAUUAUCUAUUAGUACCAGGAUGGAUAAUGCUGUCAUUGUUGUUUCUUUACCCAGAUAUUAAGAUUGAAUAUUUGUGAGAGGAGUGGGAAUAUGACCUAAUUUCUUCAUAUUAAAAGUGUACAUUAUUUUAAAACAUUCAUUUUUAUACAUAAUUUUAUCAUCUGCUGGAAUUCUAUGCCCUUCCUCAUAUCACAUCAUGUAAAGUCAUUUACUUCAUUAAAAGAUGGUCUUUCCUCAAAAUUUUACUAGGAAGAGAUAGAUAUAAGCAAAUCAUAAAUGGUUGGAUUCACUCUUAAUUCAAUCUCAACUAUACUCUAACUAUAAAACCUACAAUCAAACAGCCUAAUGGAAGUGGGUAUUGCUUUCUGGGGCUUUAACACAGAGCGAAAUAAAAUUUUUAAUAGUUACUUAAGUAUUAAGAGUAAAGACAUUGAAAAGCUAGCCUUGUCGUUUUUACUGCUUCCAAACUGACAUGGAGUUCUGCCAACAAGAACUGAAUUCUCCUUGUAUCAUGGAACAGAGUCUUUUGGGAGAAAUAGACUGGAUCUUUCAUAGAUCUCCCUAUACUGUACAUUCACACACGUUACUUCUUCGUGCAGCUGACUUGGUGACAAUGCUUCUCCUGUUUUCUGCAUUUCUUCAUAUCACGCUAUUAGGCACUGGAGCAGCAAUGGGGCAGUACAGACCAUCCAGCAUACAAGUAUCAGACACACAGAGCAUGGGACCCAUGGAACAAGCAGGCCAAGAUGCAAUGACCAUUUCCAAGACAUAUGCAAGGUGCACUGAGCAGUAUGAAUUCAAGUUUCACCCUAAUUAUAUUUAACAGUUGGUAGCCUGUAUCUUCAUCAUCCUGUACCUGAGCCUGGAUUCAGUGAAGCAUUGUCAUGUGCCUCAACCUGAAUUAGGGGCAUAUGUGAAGACAAGUAUCCUGACAUUUUUUUAAACAUUGAUUACAAGCUACAGUGUAAUGGUGGGGUCUUCAUUUAUCUCAUCCUACAGUCAAGUGCAUAUUUGAAGCAACACAGAGUUCUAUGAAUUCUUCAGCAUCUGGAGUCCGAAGCAACAAGCAGUAUAUAGUAAGCAAGCUGUGCUGACUGCCCGUUUCCAUCUCUGAAGAAGGAGGGAGUACUGAAUGAAAGCGGAAUGCCAGGCUACGCGGUAUCCAACGGCUUUGCUCCUCUAACGGUUAUGCGUUGAAUAAGCACAAAUAAAAACGUGGAUAUGUAUGAGACAGUUUGGGUAAGAAGAAAAGAAUCAUAAAAAAUCCCGUGAUUAAUUAAGUUAAGAAGCACAGACGGCUUAGGGAGUCUUUUAAUUUGGAAAUUGUUCUACUCUACAAGGCCAAGCUAGAGAAAGAAGCCAAGCCCCUGUGUUCUACACAGGUUCUGACAAAUGUUCAAUGUACAGUAUGCAGAUGAUUUAAAGAAUUUUCCUACACAUUGAUCUGAGGGUCAAGAACUAAAAAGUAAUACCUCAUAGUACCAAUGAUCCACACCGUGUGAUAUUUUGAACAAAUAUGCUUUUCAACAUAAUACAGUAAGUAGCAUAAGAACUCCGAAUGUUGUAUCAGGCUAGCUUCCUGUACAGAUGUAGGCAAAACUUUCAGACUUCAAUUUAUACAUAAAUUGGCUGACUUCAAUUGCACUUGUAUGCAUUUGUAUUUAUUUUUAACCUUGAUUUUUGAUGGAGUGUGUAUACACGUUUGUGCAAGUGUGUGUAUGUCUGUGGGUUGAAGCCAGACUGCUAACCUAAGUGUCUUCCUCAAUAAUUCUCAACUUCAUAUUUCCAUAGAAGUUCAUUCACUGAACCCAGAGCCCCGUGAUUCAACUAGAUUUAACUGGGGAGCAAUCACUAACGGAAUCCUGUGUCAGUCUGAAUAGCACUCAAAUUCAGGUAUGCAUUAAAUGUCAUGCCUGGCAUGCUUCCUGGGUACUGGGGAUCUGAGCUCAGUCUACAGGCUUUGCAGCAAGUAUUGCGCACACUGAGCAAUUUCCUAGCCCCUGUGCAAAUGUUCUGAUAUUAGUUGUUUUAUAAUUAUAUUGACAUGUCAUGAGUUGAAUUGUCUCAAUGCUUCUCUGUUUCAAAAGAAAAAAGUAGUGUUUAAAGAAAACAUGUAUCCUUUCACUUCAAAAUUUAAUUUGUUAAUUUUAAAAAUCUGAAAUAUCUAGAAUCCAAAUUUAACAAUGUAUUCUAAAAAAAACAAAUUUCCUAAAAUGUCUACUUAAAAAAAAAAACCAAAGGAGGAAACAUAACUUAGAGAAUAUAAAAUGACAACUUAAAAUCCAAUAAAUUAUUUUACUAAAAUUAAUUCAAUCAUUAUAAAUAUAUCAUAUAUAAAUAUUGAUUCUUUCUUAUAUGGUGCUAAGAUUUGGAAAAAUCAGUUUUUUUUAUGAAUCACGUGUUGAUAUUACUUCCUGGAGGUUUACUGCUCCAAACUGUUUUAUCAUCUUGAAGAAUAAGCAGAAUGAUAGACAUAAAUAUUUAUUUAGUACCUAGUUAAUAUUAAACAUGUGUUUUACAAUAUGAGUGAUCAUAUUUAAUUUUAAUCGCUGUAUCCACCAUAAAAAUGUUGAUAGAUUCUACAAGAAAACAGAAAAGUAAGUCAAAAACAAGAAAGCACUUCUGCAUGGAUGGAGGAGCUGUGGUUUUGUUUUGGUUUGGUUUUUUUAAAGCAGGAAUCAUGGGAAUAGAAGGUCAAUGUAAACAAUCUGUCUACAGAGUGUAACUGUUGAAAUGAAUUAUAUCCACUGACCUACACAGAAUUACCCACUUAGAGACAACACUUAACUGCACUAUCAACCUUCAAAGACGUCUGUACCAUACUCAUAUGAAUGUAAGAGAAAGACAGUUUACUAUAACAUGUUCAGAUCACAUUUAAAAAUAACAAGCUGCAUGCAUAUACAUGAUCAAAAUAGAAAUCAAUACUUCCCCUAAACCCUUGCAUUAGGCCAUAAGUAAUCCCUAAAACUCCUUUACAUUUUAUAUCUUUGGAAGAAUAGCCAUGUAUACACAUUUCAUCCUAGCAAGGACUGCUAUAUCAUCUCAAUAGAGAAUGUGUUACUCUCUCAGCAGGAAAAAUACCUGUUCAGAAUAAGCAGAAUCAAUAAAAUAUAUACAAAAAUUAUAAUCUGCUUAUACUUGAGUCAUGUGGAUAUUUAUAAUUGAAAAUAAAUUGCAGGUUUAUACAAUGAAAGGUUAGCAAUGACCGUGUCUGAUUGGUAAAUUAUAGGUAAUUAAAAAUAUAAAUGAAACUUGUUCUAUUUUCAGUCAACAAUUAUGUAACGAGUCCUCACCAUAUCCAAAGUAUAGUUUUGGUAUGGUGUUUUAAGAAGAAUUUUUACAGUACGAUUUUCUCAUUAAAUUUGGUGGAAGGAGCAUAGUUAAAUUUUGGUUUUAAAGAGAGAAACUUGAAGACUAAAAACUGCCAACAAUGGAAAAUUAUCUCAUGAAGUUUGCAUCUAAAGGCUUUGUGGUGGGUAACUUUUUGUUCCCUAAACAAAAUUUCUUUGGAUGCACAAACUUUCAAACAAAAAACUCCAUGAAAUCCUGGGCAGAGAAGGAGGGCACAGUCCUGGGAUCACAUGUAGGAGGUUCAUGCCUUGAGGGCAAUUAUAGAACCAGGUCCAAUGGCACAGCAGCUGAGCCCAAGCCUGCAAGACUGCAAGUCACUGAGUCUGAGCUGUGUAGCUCUGGAAGCAGAAAUUCUAAGCAGGGCAGAUGUAUCAUCCUCCUAAAAGCCGGAGCCUGAACUGCCGUAAGUGUUUGUCUCAUCCCCAGUUCUUCACAAUUCUCAAGGGGUUCAGAAACCACUGAGUCCUUUCUGUUUGCCUGUUUAGUUUGUUAGUUUAUUAGUAGUAUAUUAGACAUUUUAGGAAAAAAUAUACAACACAAUUUAUAUAAUUUUCCCUAAAAGAAAUAAAACACCAGGUGUUAUAUUCUUGAGAGUCUACUCUCUCCUUACUGUUUUUACAAACUAGAGAUUUGGGACUUGCCGUUUACAGGUUGAAAAAUAAGGUUUCCCUCGCCCUGCAAGUGAAUGUGUUGUUUCAAGUACAAUCAGUUUAUAAGUGCUGUACACUUAAUACAGAAAAAAAAAAUCCAAAAACGAAUGAAGUUCGUUCUGUAACCUAAUUAAGUUUAAGGAUCCAUUUUCUUGAGGGGGACAGAAUAGCACAAGUACAGAAUGGAGCAUGAGUGCCACAGUGCGUAAUAGCUCAAACUAAAGGCAUGACAAUAAGCUUGUUUUCCAUUAUUGCAGAACCAAUAAAUAAGUAUAAUGAAAAUCACGACACAUUAUUACAUUACUCUGCAUUGCCUCUAUUCAUUUAAAAAAAAAACAAGAUGAGUGCAUUUAAAAUACUUCCACAUGUCAAAUGACAGUAAGCUUUGCAAUUGAGAGGAUGCUGAGAGGAAUAUUUUAAAGAGCAGAUGCCUAGUCUUAUGAGGCUUAUAUCAAGAUUAUGGUAGGAGAACAAGAUAUGUAAGCAAUAACUACUUCACACUAAGGUGGUGGUAGCAUGGCAUCCGAACAUUUAUGUCUUUCAUUUGCACUGUGUUUUCUUGAUAUUAUGCAGUCAAUAAAAACCAAAUUAAAAAAAAGCUUUAGCGAAAGCUUCCAUGUCAAUUAGCCCUUGGAUAGAAUCUCCUGUUUCCCUGUGAUUUAAUAUACUGGGAUUAUAUUAACAGCGCGGGCUUGUAAAUAAGGAAUAUCUGGAUCCGAUUAAUGGGAAUAGACUGCCAAAACAAUCAGCCUCUAACUUAACAAGUUUCUAAGUAUUUAGAAAAGCUGUGAAAUAGGAUUACAAGGUUAAACUGUGUACAUCUGGCUAGCCACUAUAUAAAUAUUUCAGAAAUGUGAUCUCAUGGGCUGAAGAAACACCUGUCUAAUCAUGAGUCUUUUCCAAGAUACAUGAACUUCACUGAGCAGAGGAGUGUAUGAAUGUUGACAAGAAAUCUUCAUCAAUUUGCAUAAUUUACUUCUUAUGCUAGGCACAUAAUUUCGUCAUGUUCCUCUCUUCUAAGUGAACAUACAAAAGCAUUCUGGAAUGACUCUCUGCCACCACGCAUCUGUUGACAAAAAGUGCCCAAUUCUUUUCCAUGGACUGUAGCACGCAAUUGAACUGCAGUUAGAUAUUUGAAGCAUAAAUUUAGGAUGCCAUGGAGGCUGCGAAUAAUUAACGAGAAGCAGAGGCCUGUCAUAAAGUAGCAGUCACAACUUGGGCAGUGCUCCUAGUUUAUAGAAACCUUAAUGAUGUAGAAAAUCAGAUGUUCUUCACCAGACUCAAAAUUGAACCACUGUGUUGACUCUUUGUCAAGUACACACCACCCCGUUAAGCUCGAUGUUAGUUUAGAUUUUUAAGAAAGGAGUAAUUAGGUUGGACAUGUGCAGUGUAGGGCACUCACCAAAUUAUCUUAAAACACUCAGUGUGAAAACACCAGCUUUGACUCUCUAGUCAAAAAAUGGAAGCUAAAGGUCAUGGGCUCAAAUUUCUAAUGACAUUUCCUGAGAGGAGAUGGGCGAAAUGGACGCUAAAGAUUGGAUGGUCAAUGCUUUCAUGCACUAUGUUUCAUGUUUUAUGUACCUUAAUUUCCUAACGAGAUGAUGGAUUAUUGCAAUUAACCAAGUGAAAUGAUACCCCACUUCCCUAACCGGCAUAUUUCCAGGGGACACCAAACCAGUGGUCCUUUCCUUCUCCCACCCUCUCAGCAUGCUAUUCUCCGUCCUGAAAUUCUCAACCAAGACUACAAUAUUUCUAAAUAAUGUAUAACUCCUUGGAAAUUUCAUUUUUGCUGUAGUGUGAUGAAUAUUUAACACAAACAACCAAACUUAUGCAUCCUAAAUUUCAAUGGGAAAUUUCAAGUAAAAGAAAAUACAUAAUUUUUUUUGCCUAAAUUUAAAAUGAAGUUCCUUUGGUUGCACAAUAAGUGAAAAUGCUGGGCUGGUUGCAAGAUGCAUAGCUGUAAACAGAAAAGUUUACUAAAAACCAAAAGUGAAUAAAAUUUUCAUUUUUAGAUGUGACAGGUGAGAGAGGGUGUCUUCACUGUAUCUUUUAGUGUACAUGCCUGCCAGAAAGAUAGAAAGGACUCAUAUUGUAAGGCUUCUUUUUCAUUUCGUUCAUAUAAAUUAAUCAACCUUUGUAUUUUUAAAAUAUAUAUAUUCAUUUCUAGAAUUUAAAAGAACAGAGGGAUUGUUUAUUUUAACUAAUAGUCCAAAUUUUCUUGUCUACUUAAGUGCAAUUUCAAAAAGAAAUACAUGAAACUAUUUAAUGCAAUCAAUAAAUAUCUCUCUCUACACUGAAUUACCAACUAUGUCAAUCCGAGAUAUAAACAUAAUUCAGUUAAUUUGCCAAUAAAUACUACCAAGGUUUGUCACCACAUAUAUCUGAUUUUUAAGUAGAAACCAUUCCUGCAGAUGUAAAUACACAAGGAACUUUAAUAUAUACGUUAACACAUAUUUGCCACUGGAAAUUCACAGACAAAAAGACCAACAUGGCAAAAAUGAAAGCAUUUCUGAGAGUUCAGGAUAAGGUGAAAGCAAUGCUUCCUUACAUCUAUCUCAUUAUUCUCUACUUUUGUUCAUGGUGUUAGAGAUUGGACUCCAGGCCUUGGACACAGUAGGAACCUGCUGUACCAUUGAAGGACAUGUCUAAAUAUUGGCUACCUGAGACAAAGUCUGACUGUAUAAUUCAACCUGGCCUACAUCUCAAGCUCUGCUUGCCUGUGACUUCAAAGUACUAAGACCACAGGUGUGUUCCUUUACAGUGAUUAGAAAGACGCUUGAAAAACCUUUCACUGUUGUUAAGCAGAUGAGAAAAGUUAAGUUGGAGAUCUUGUGAAAUGAUGCACAAAUGCUUGAAAGCUUGCACUCUUGCAAAAUCUUCAAGACUCUCAACAUCAUUUGGGAUCUUCCAAUAUAGAAGAUGCUUUGUCAAUGGUCUUUAAAAAAAAAAAAGCAUACACGUAUAUGUAAAAUGUCUCAAGGAAAAGGCAGAGAGGAGAGAAAUGAGUAAAACAUGCACAGUUUAUGACAGGCCCCGGGUGUGGUUAGUAAUGUUUGAUAGAAUAUCUGCUUCAAUGCCCUUCAAACAAAGAAAGCUGCCAAACAGGCAGUUACCACAUCUACCAUAUCUACAUCCUCUGCAUUCAGCAGAAUGGCUGUCAGUGGGCCUUUCUUCCAAAUCUCCAAUGUUACAAAAUGAAAUUAUAGACUUGAAGCACAAUGUUUAUGAUGAGUGUGAACGUAAACGUCAGCAGCGAGAGUUUACUGUCUGCAGGCUCACCUCACUCAGUAUUGAACACCACUAAAUUGAAUCUUUCAAGAAGUGUCUGUGUUCUCCAUAAAAUGUCGAGAAAUCAUAAACAUUUAAAAAUUCUAAUUUAUGCUCCUUUUUAUAUUAUUCCUUUCCUUUAUAGCCUACAUGCUCUGGUUAAGCAGAACUACGUGACAGCUUUUUUUUCCCCCUUAGACGUGAUACUAUUCUACCACCAAAAUAUCCCCUCAUUCCUUGAAUUAAUUUUUAAUAUGAUUUGAAAAUUUAAUUUUCUUGCAACUUUUAUUCUUUCAAGUCCCUUUAUCCUUAGAUGUGAAUGAACCUUGCAGAUAGAACUCAGAUGGAGAGCACCUAAGUUUUAAAACAGCAUAAAAGUAAACAAUUUAAUUUAAUAUUAACAGUAUUUUACUAUGUAUUCAUUGGACUCAUGAUUAUGAAUCAAAACCAUAGAUUUUGACUAUAAGUUAAAUAACAGUAGGAAAAUAGGGAGUAUGAUAGCCCUCAAAAUAAUUUUUUUUUUUAGUAUAGGCACAAGAAUUAGAUUAGCACCUACAUAGUCAAAACAGAUUUUGAAUUUUGUGAACAAAUGUGUGUGUGUUUAUUCUUUAUAUAUCUGAUAAUGGCAGUGUAAUUUUCUGUUGAUAUUAUCACAUGACCAAAAGCAUGUACAAAUGUAAUAAGCCUUAAAACUAUACCUCAACAAAUAGAACCAGAUAUUUAUGAUUCAACCAUUAUUUCAUCUUAUUAAAAAUUACUUAAGGAAGUAUUUGCAUCUAAGUGCCUCAAAACAUAAACAAAAUGAUUGUGGCAAAUUAUUGAUUUCUUAGAAUUGGAUGAGAUAGCUUUAUAAAAUGUAUAUGACAACUGAGUGACAUAAUUGUAAUGCUGUGUAAGUCACAGCAAAGAAUAAAAAGAAUUUAAAUAAAUGACAAUCAACACCAUUGUCUCUUUGAAUGCUACAUACAUAUGCAUAUGUAUGUAUGUAAACUAUAUAUAGUAUGGAGUAAUACUGAGAAAACUUGAGGCUAAUAAAGACUGCAAUCUUUGAACAUCGAUUUUCUCUAUGAACGUGAAACAUAUCAGCAAAAAUACACAGGCUUUCUUAUUGCUCUUGUUUGAAAGGUACCAGGUCAGGUAUAAAUUAUAAAAAUUGAGAUGUGCUACCCCUCUUCAAUUAUUCCACCUAGACAAGAUCAAUUACCUGAAUCUUAAUAUCAUGUAGCUGAAACACUCAUCCAGGCAUUUAACACUGUUGAAAUUUGAAAGAAUUAAAAUAAUCUACAAGCUGUGUGCAGACCACUUAGCUUUUCAUCAAGAACAGCGCUUAGGCAGCACCACCACUUUAAGAGAAAAGAGAUGAACUGGAUGGAAAGAAAUAGUUAAUUCUCGCGUCCUAAUAUCUUUAUUAUCUGUCUUUUAAACGCUUAGGCGUCAGGUAGCUUUGAAACCAAGCAGGAAAAAAAAAUUAUUCUUUCAGCUUCUACUCGCGUUGAUCCACUUUUGCUCUGUUUCUCAAGGCAGCCGAAUAUUCUUAUUGUUUUACUUCAAACUUAACUCAGACCGCGGAGGAUAGUAAUGGGAAAUAUUACCCACUCCUUCCGUGAGUUGUUCCAUGUCAGCUUUUUGCCUACGGCAAAUUUAAUGGCUGAUUUGUGGAUCUUUAUUUCUGGAGAUUUACUACAGAAACACUGACAUAACCUUUACCCAGAGCAAACACUCACUCUAAUAAGAAGGAGACACCGAACCCAAAAACGCACAAGGAAGAGAAAAAUCCUGGCAGGAAUUAAUCUACCAUUUUCACACUCUGCCCAAGGGAAGUAUUGUAAUUGCAAAAAUUUACUCUAAGACUGCUGAGACUCAUAGUAAUUAUGUUUCUUUUUUUUUUAAUAGAAAUAGCCACAGGUGGUAACAAAUUGGGUUUUGAGAUGGGGAACUGGGCAUGUAUUCUAACCCAAAUUACGGUGUAAUAGUCUUCAUUAUAUAAAAAAUUAUUAUGGAAAAUCUAUUCUUCAAAAUAAGAAGAAAAAAUAUCAAAUGUAUUUCUCAUGUUUCCUUUUUUUUCUCUUAGUCAUUUGGAUUCAGUAUGACAUCUCAGAACAGACCUUGGGUAAUAACUUUCAAAGAUUGUUCUGAGUGUUGGUUUGUUUAAAAAGAUUGUUGUCCUCUUUCCCAACUUAUUAUCAUCUAGGGAAAAAUAAUAAUUUUCCCCUGAAGGUUAAGACUUAAACACAGCUAAUAAUUACUAACCAUGGUUGUGGUGACAGAAAAGUACAAGUGCACUUUUUAGAGAUGUUUACGUCGACCUAUGAAUUGAUACUGAAUUCUUUGUUAUUUUCAUACAGGUGUAUGAAGUCCUACAUAUUACUCUAAGUUAAUUCCAUAGAAUAAGGUGACUAUUUUCUGUUAAUACAGAGAAUUUCACAAUUCCUAUGUCCAGUAAAACUCAA
This 9949-nucleotide small RNA is filed under the name Rattus norvegicus (Norway rat). RNAcentral describes it as "uncharacterized LOC108352949". Lineage: Eukaryota; Metazoa; Chordata; Mammalia; Rodentia; Muridae. The record is from RNAcentral.